Molecule: long non-coding RNA, 455 nt
Organism: Xiphias gladius (swordfish)
Lineage: Eukaryota; Metazoa; Chordata; Actinopteri; Istiophoriformes; Xiphiidae
Exons: 3
Source: RefSeq, a predicted model, not a curated record
GGGCUCUCCUAAGCUUCUGUCUAGCACUCUGAGAAAUUAAAAUAAUUGAUGCCCACAAAGCAGGAGAAGGCUAUAAGAAGAUAACAAAGUGUUUUCAGCACCCUGCACAGAGAGGAGGCAAUGAGCACCAGGGAGAAAAAGAAGCCUAAUAUUGUCCUGGACUACAAUAGAAACAAAGGGGGAGUCGAAAACCUUGCUAAGCAUCCUAGAUAUGUCAGCCUACAAAUCUUGUGUAGUGUGGACGGAGGUGAAUCCAGGCUGGAAUCAGAAGAAGAGAUUCAAGGAGAGGCUUUUCCUGGAGGAGCUGGGGAAAGCCAUGGUGACGUCUCUUGUUCAAAAGUGCCAACACUUUCCUCAAACACAUCUUCUACCAUAUUGAUGAGAGACACACAAGGCCCAGGACCAAGCUCUACACAGUGAACACGCAAAAGAGGAAAACUGACAAGGAGCACACU